GACGAACGCUGGCGGCGUGCUUAACACAUGCAAGUCGAACGGUGAUGCUCCAGCUUGCUGGAGUGGAUCAGUGGCGAACGGGUGAGUAACACGUGAGCAACCUGCCCCAGACUCUGGAAUAAGCGCUGGAAACGGCGUCUAAUACUGGAUACGAAACUGGCCCGCAUGGGCAUGGUUUGGAAAGUUAUUCGGUUUGGGAUGGGCUCGCGGCCUAUCAGCUUGUUGGUGAGGUAAUGGCUCACCAAGGCGACGACGGGUAGCCGGCCUGAGAGGGCGACCGGCGACAAUGGGACUGAGACACGGAGCAGAGGGCUACGGGAGGCAGCAGUGGGGAAUAUUGCACAAUGGGCGCAAGCCGGAUGCAGCGACGCCGCGUGAGGGAUGACGGCCUUCGGGUUGUAAACCUCUUUCAGCAGGGAAGAAGCGAAAGUGACGGUACCUGCAGAAGAAGCACCGGCUAACUACGUG
Molecule: ribosomal RNA, 468 nt
Filed under: uncultured bacterium
Lineage: Bacteria
Description: partial 16S ribosomal RNA
Rfam family: Bacterial small subunit ribosomal RNA
Source: RNAcentral